UCUGCUGUGGCCGUUGGCCGUUGCUCAUCUAGAGAAGAGGUUGGCCUCACCUGCCAGGGUCCCCUCAGUGCGUUUUCUCCACAUCGUGGUCCCAUAACUCUUCUCUCACUUGAUAUCUGUUCAAUGUGGUCAAUGUGAUUUUAUUUUUUAAGUUGACUGAUUUAUCUUGAGAGAGAGAGGGAGAGAAGGGGAGGGACUGAGAGAGGGAGAGAGAGAAUCCCAAGCCGAUCCCACGGUCGAAGCAGAGCCAGACACGGGGCUCAAUCUCACGAGCCGUGAGAUCAUGCCCUGAGCUGAAAUCAGGUCAGAUGCUUACCUGACUGAGACGCCCCAGUCUCAGUGAUUUUAAAAUGUUUUGCCCUGCCUUUCCGGUUGUUUCUGAUAGGAUGUUAGUCUACAUCAUCCGGCUCCUCGUAACCGGAAGCAAACUCAUGCUGCUCUGUAGGGUUCUUUUCAUGCUUGGUGUGGCCUUCUCCGUGUCGCCUAGUGCAGCACCCUCCUGCCGGGGAGGCUCCCUCCACGCGGUCGGGGAACUUGCCCGAUUCCUUUGCUGGUGUUUGAGGGACGGACCCUCCGCAGAACUCAGACUCCGCUUGCAACCCGAGCCCAGGAAGGCCGCCGUGAUCUCGCACAGAAGCCAGCACCCCCUCAACAUGCGGCACCCGCCCCCCAACUCCACUUUCCUCUGGCAUCGGAUCCUGUCUACACCCAACUGA
This 716-nucleotide long non-coding RNA is filed under the name Felis catus (domestic cat). RNAcentral describes it as "lncRNA (ENSFCAG00000045802.2)". The record is from RNAcentral. Lineage: Eukaryota; Metazoa; Chordata; Mammalia; Carnivora; Felidae.